UACGAGGGGGGCGAGCGUUGUUCGGAAUUAUUGGGCGUAAAGGGUGCGUAGGCGGUUCCGCAAGUCCUGUGUGAAAUCUUCGGGCUCAACUCGAAGUCUGCACGGGAAACUGCGGGGCUUGAGUGUGGGAGAGGUGAGUGGAAUUCUCGGUGUAGAGGUGAAAUUCGUAGAUAUCGAGAGGAACACCGGUGGCGAAGGCGGCUUUCUGGACGAUAACUGACGCUGAGACGCGAAAGCGUGGGGAGCAAACAGG
Molecule: ribosomal RNA, 253 nt
Filed under: uncultured bacterium
Lineage: Bacteria
Description: partial 16S ribosomal RNA
Rfam family: Bacterial small subunit ribosomal RNA
Source: RNAcentral